RNAcentral lists this transfer RNA (67 nucleotides) under Platevindex sp. CL-2014. Its description in RNAcentral is "tRNA-Lys". Lineage: Eukaryota; Metazoa; Mollusca; Gastropoda; Systellommatophora; Onchidiidae. The record is from RNAcentral.
UUUUGAGUGGCCGAGUUUAGGCAGUAGAUUUUUAAUCUUAGUACGGGCGUGAGCCCCUUAUUGCGUU